CGGAGCAUAGCGCAGCUGGGUAGCGUAUCAUCUUGGGGUGAUGGAGGUCGUGGGUUCGAAUCCCGCUGUUCCGA
Molecule: transfer RNA, 74 nt
Filed under: Diphasiastrum digitatum
Lineage: Eukaryota; Viridiplantae; Streptophyta; Lycopodiopsida; Lycopodiales; Lycopodiaceae
Description: tRNA-Pro
Rfam family: tRNA
About the family: Transfer RNA (tRNA) molecules are approximately 80 nucleotides in length. Their secondary structure includes four short double-helical elements and three loops (D, anti-codon, and T loops). Further hydrogen bonds mediate the characteristic L-shaped molecular structure. tRNAs have two regions of fundamental functional importance: the anti-codon, which is responsible for specific mRNA codon recognition, and the 3' end, to which the tRNAs corresponding amino acid is attached (by aminoacyl-tRNA synthetases). tRNAs cope with the degeneracy of the genetic code in two manners: having more than one tRNA (with a specific anti-codon) for a particular amino acid; and 'wobble' base-pairing, i.e. permitting non-standard base-pairing at the 3rd anti-codon position.
Source: RNAcentral